Notothenia coriiceps (black rockcod) is the source of this 229-nucleotide long non-coding RNA. RefSeq lists it as uncharacterized. The transcript is spliced from 4 exons. Lineage: Eukaryota; Metazoa; Chordata; Actinopteri; Perciformes; Nototheniidae. The record is from RefSeq and is a predicted model, not a curated record.
GGGGACAUUUUGCUGAAAUACAGAGAAGAAUGUCAGGAACCAGUUUGCUGAAGAUCUACAUUGGGACAUUUUGUAAAAGUGGUUAUGACAGUGUGUCUUCGAGCCAAUUGGGAGUUUGGCAGCCAGAGGGAGCACAGCGCUGAGCUGCCAACAUGGCUGAUCUCUUUUCAGACUGAGUUGAUUCACAAAAAGUUAUCCAAGAGCACGCUUCAGACGUCUUGAAUCAACC